GACGAACGCUGGCGGCGUGCUUAACACAUGCAAGUCGAACGGAAAGGCCCUGCUUUUGUGGGGUGCUCGAGUGGCGAACGGGUGAGUAACACGUGAGUAACCUGCCCUUGACUUUGGGAUAACUUCAGGAAACUGGGGCUAAUACCGGAUAGGAGCUCCUGCUGCAUGGUGGGGGUUGGAAAGUUUCGGCGGUUGGGGAUGGACUCGCGGCUUAUCCGCUUGUUGGUGGGGUAGUGGCUUACCAAGGCUUUGACGGGUAGCCGGCCUGAGAGGGUGACCGGCCACAUUGGGACUGAGAUACGGCCCAGACUCCUACGGGAGGCAGCGGUGGGGAAUAUUGCACAAUGGGCGGAAGCCUGAUGCAGCAACGCCGCGUGCGGGAUGACGGCCUUCGGGUUGUAAACCGCUUUCGCAUGUGACGAAGCGGGAGUGACGGUAAUGGGUAAAGAAGCACCGGCUAACUACGUG
RNAcentral lists this ribosomal RNA (468 nucleotides) under uncultured bacterium. RNAcentral describes it as "partial 16S ribosomal RNA". It matches the Rfam family "Bacterial small subunit ribosomal RNA", at positions 28 to 507 of the family's 1533-position model. The record is from RNAcentral.